Molecule: ribosomal RNA, 253 nt
Filed under: uncultured bacterium
Lineage: Bacteria
Description: partial 16S ribosomal RNA
Rfam family: Bacterial small subunit ribosomal RNA
Source: RNAcentral
UACGAAGGGGGCUAGCGUUGCUCGGAAUUACUGGGUGUAAAGCGCACGUAGGCGGAUUGUUAAGUCGGGGGUGAAAUCCUGGAGCUCAACUCCAGAACUGCCUUCGAUACUGGCGAUCUCGAGUUCGGGAGAGGUGAGUGGAACUGCGAGUGUAGAGGUGAAAUUCGUAGAUAUUCGCAAGGACACCAGUGGCGAAGGCGGCUCACUGGCCCGAUACUGACGCUGAGGUGCGAAAGCGUGGGGAGCAAACAGG